GAUGAACGCUGGCGGCGUGCCUAAUACAUGCAAGUCGAGCGAACUGAUUAGAAGCUUGCUUCUAAGACGUUAGCGGCGGACGGGUGAGUAACACGUGGGCAACCUGCCUGUAAGACUGGGAUAACUUCGGGAAACCGAAGCUAAUACCGGAUAGGAUCUUCUCCUUCAUGGGAGAUGAUUGAAAGAUGGUUUCGGCUAUCACUUACAGAUGGGCCCGCGGUGCAUUAGCUAGUUGGUGAGGUAACGGCUCACCAAGGCAACGAUGCAUAGCCGACCUGGGAGGGUGAGCGGCCACACUGGGACUGAGACACGGCCCAGACUCCUACGGGAGGCAGCAGUAGGGAAUCUUCCGCAAUGGACGAAAGUCUGACGGAGCAACGCCGCGUGAGUGAUGAAGGCUUUCGGGUCGUAAAACUCUGUUGUUAGGGAAGAACAAGUACAAGAGUAACUGCUUGUACCUUGACGGUACCUAACCAGAAAGCCACGGCUAACUACGUGCCAGCCGCCGCCGUAA
RNAcentral lists this ribosomal RNA (514 nucleotides) under uncultured bacterium. RNAcentral's name for it is "partial 16S ribosomal RNA". It matches the Rfam family "Bacterial small subunit ribosomal RNA", at positions 28 to 523 of the family's 1533-position model. The record is from RNAcentral.